Molecule: ribosomal RNA, 540 nt
Filed under: uncultured Geobacteraceae bacterium
Lineage: Bacteria; Pseudomonadati; Thermodesulfobacteriota; Desulfuromonadia; Geobacterales; Geobacteraceae
Description: bacterial SSU rRNA
Rfam family: Bacterial small subunit ribosomal RNA
Source: RNAcentral
GAGUUUGAUCCUGGCUCAGAACGAACGCUGGCGGCGUGCCUAACACAUGCAAGUCGAACGUGAUCCAGAGCUUGCUCUGGUGAAAGUGGCGCACGGGUGAGUAACGCGUGGAUAACCUACCCUGGUAUCCGGGAUAACAUUCCGAAAGGGGUGCUAAUACCGGAUAAGCCCACGGGCUCUUUGGAGCUUGCGGGAAAAGGUGGCCUCUAUUUAUAAGCUACUGUAUCAGGAUGGGUCCGCGUACCAUUAGCUAGUUGGCGGUGUAACGGACCACCAAGGCGACGAUGGUUAGCUGGUCUGAGAGGAUGAUCAGCCACACUGGAACUGAGACACGGUCCAGACUCCUACGGGAGGCAGCAGUGGGGAAUUUUGCGCAAUGGGGGAAACCCUGACGCAGCAACGCCGCGUGAGUGAUGAAGGCCUUUGGGUCGUAAAGCUCUGUCAGAGGGGAAGAAAUGAUAUAGUGCUAAUACCACUUUAUCUUGACGGUACCCUCAARGGAAGCACCGGCUAACUCCGUGCCAGCAGCCGCGGUAAUAC